CUUUUAUGGAGAGUUUGAUCCUGGCUCAGGACGAACGCUGGCGGCGUGCCUAACACAUGCAAGUCGAACGGGGAGUUA
RNAcentral lists this ribosomal RNA (78 nucleotides) under Sporomusa acidovorans. Its description in RNAcentral is "16S rRNA. Bacterial SSU". It matches the Rfam family "Bacterial small subunit ribosomal RNA", at positions 1 to 76 of the family's 1533-position model. Lineage: Bacteria; Bacillati; Bacillota; Negativicutes; Selenomonadales; Sporomusaceae. The record is from RNAcentral.